This 1054-nucleotide long non-coding RNA is filed under the name Equus caballus (horse). RNAcentral describes it as "lncRNA (ENSECAG00000050181.1)". Lineage: Eukaryota; Metazoa; Chordata; Mammalia; Perissodactyla; Equidae. The record is from RNAcentral.
UGUGCGGUUUGAGGACAGGACUCAAGGGCAUGGCAAAUCCCAGCUAGCUCCCCACGUGUCCUCCGCCCGCACCACCGUCUGCUAGGGGCGGGGCGCGUCAUUAUCCCAGCCUAGCGUACCGGGGCUCCUGCACUUCGGCCGGUCCUGGCUGCCGAUUGGUUGGCGAGCGUGGGAAAGCGCUCGUGCCCACGGCCCCACCGCCCGCGCCGCAUAAAGGCACCGCCGCCGCUCGCCUCGGCGUUUCGGCCACCGUCCGUGCCGUGCGCUCUGGCCCCCGCGGGCCUGGCUCCAGGCGCAGCCCCCUGCCGACUCUCGAAGUAAAGGGCAGUCCGGCUCCCGGGCGGCGGCAGCGCGAGGGCGCACCCGCGGGUCUUGGCAGGGUCCGGCGGCCGCCCCUCACCAGGUCUCUGCUCUUCCCCCUGUUUGUGGAGUUCGGGGCGCCCGCCCAGCUCCGAGCUGGGGAAGUGACAUCGUGGAGACGGAGGUGGCAACAUCCCCGCCCCCGGCGGCUCGGCAAACCGCGGAUGAGUCCAGGGAAGCCGUGGCGCGCUGCCUCCGAGAAGCCUUCCCGUCCUCUCCCUGCACCACGUGCGGAUGCACACCCUGGCUGAGCUGAACAGCGACAUGCAGAAGAGAUCCCUGCCGCGGCCUGAAAGCAGCGCGCCCCCUGCGCCCCCUGCGCCCCUGGCCACAAGGGCCCCAGUGGCAGUUGCCAGACCCCUUGGACGGAGAGGAGAGGGCUGGGGCUGGCGGGGCGCAGCGCUCCUCCUGCAGUAGGGAAUUUUGUUUCCCCUCCUAUUUGCUGUCUGGCACUAGAGCCCAGGCUGAGCAGCCCAGCCUGCCAGCUGGUGGGGCCCCUCAGCCGGCAGCAGUGCCCCAGGUCUUCCUCCUGAAGGAGGGGUCCUGAGGGCAAGGGUUUUGUAUGUCACAGCUGCUGUAAAUGGUCAAGAUUGUCCAUGGCAGAGGGAGCUGGGGCAGCCACUUCUGCCUGAUCAGCACAGCCACGCCCUGCGUCUGGACCUCUGCUUCUUCCAAGUUGGGAAAGAACUGGAUG